Molecule: long non-coding RNA, 414 nt
Organism: Odocoileus virginianus texanus
Lineage: Eukaryota; Metazoa; Chordata; Mammalia; Artiodactyla; Cervidae
Source: RefSeq, a predicted model, not a curated record
GAAAAAGGAAGAUAUUCUGUCUUUACUAGUCUUUCGUCCAUCCCUUUCACUGUCCAGAGCCUAACAUCUGUGAAUUUAAAACUCCACUCUUUCUACCUUCUUCCUUCCAGUCUUUUCAGUCAAGUGUUUCAUAACAAAUGGACAAGAGCUAAACUUAACCAUGUGUUUAGAAAGGAGCAUAAACAGAACUGCCCUACAUUAUUUAACACUCUUUCCUUCCCCUUCAGGUCCAGAGACAUCUGAGGACUCAUACAGAUAAUUGACACUACAGGAAAUCAGCUCCAUGAUAAAAAAAAAAAAAUGAGUGGCUGACUUUGGAAGGAAAGGGACAAGGACUGUCUAGGACAAAGCAAAAGGGUACUCUCUGGAAUAAAGACUGCAGCCCGUCAAGCUCCUCUGUCCAUGGAAUUCUUC